AUCUUAUAGGUAAUUAUUUAAUUUUGAUUUUUCAGAUUGAAAUUUAAAAAUAGUGAUUGAUUUCAAGAGCGAUUGGAUAGAGUUAAUAAGUUGUUGGAAUGAAAAUUAAAUUUGAGGGAAAUUUGGUUUUAAAAUUGAUCCAAACAAAAAUUAUUUUUUUUAGUACAAACCGGUUAUUAACCAAACCGAUCCAAACAUAAACUGAUUUUAAAAAUAUAAACCGGUUUUAUCAAAGUGGUUUUAAAAACCAAACUGAUCCAUAUAUUUGGUUCAAUUUGGUUAUGGUU
This 287-nucleotide long non-coding RNA is filed under the name Lathyrus oleraceus (garden pea). Its description in RNAcentral is "Pisum sativum (pea) long non-coding RNA (PSAT_LNC011547)". Lineage: Eukaryota; Viridiplantae; Streptophyta; Magnoliopsida; Fabales; Fabaceae. The record is from RNAcentral.